AUUGAACGCUGGCGGCAUGCCUUACACAUGCAAGUCGAACGGCAGCACGGGGGCAACCCUGGUGGCGAGUGGCGAACGGGUGAGUAAUACAUCGGAACGUGCCCAGUAGUGGGGGAUAGCCCGGCGAAAGCCGGAUUAAUACCGCAUACGACCUACGGGUGAAAGCGGGGGAUCGCAAGACCUCGCGCUAUUGGAGCGGCCGAUGUCAGAUUAGGUUGUUGGUGGGGUAAAAGCCUACCAAGCCGACGAUCUGUAGCUGGUCUGAGAGGACGACCAGCCACACUGGGACUGAGACACGGCCCAGACUCCUACGGGAGGCAGCAGUGGGGAAUUUUGGACAAUGGGCGCAAGCCUGA
Molecule: ribosomal RNA, 356 nt
Filed under: uncultured bacterium
Lineage: Bacteria
Description: bacterial SSU rRNA
Rfam family: Bacterial small subunit ribosomal RNA
Source: RNAcentral